UACGGGGGGGGCAAGCGUUGUUCGGAAUUACUGGGCGUAAAGGGCUCGUAGGUGGCCAACUAAGUCAGACGUGAAAUCCCCAGGCUCAACUUGGGAACUGCGUCUGAUACUGGAUGGCUUGAAUUCGGGAGAGGGAUGCAGAAUUCCAGGUGUAGCGGUGAAAUGCGUUGAUAUUGGAAGGAACGCCGGUGGCGAAAGCGAGCUGCUGGACCUCUUCUGACACUGAGGCGCGAAAGCUAGGGGAGCAAACGGG
Molecule: ribosomal RNA, 253 nt
Filed under: uncultured bacterium
Lineage: Bacteria
Description: partial 16S ribosomal RNA
Rfam family: Bacterial small subunit ribosomal RNA
Source: RNAcentral